UACAGAGGGUGCGAGCGUUGUUCGGAAUUAUUGGGCGUAAAGGGCGCGUAGGCGGUGCGGCAAGUCACCUGUGAAACCUCUGGGCUUAACCCAGAGCCUGCAGGCGAAACUGCCGUGCUGGAGUGUGGGAGAGGUGCGUGGAAUUCCCGGUGUAGCGGUGAAAUGCAUAGAUACCAUAAAGAACACCUAUUGCGAAGGCAGCUUACUAGGCUGUAACUGACGCUGAGGCACGAAAGCGUGGGGAUCGAACAGG
Molecule: ribosomal RNA, 253 nt
Filed under: uncultured bacterium
Lineage: Bacteria
Description: partial 16S ribosomal RNA
Rfam family: Bacterial small subunit ribosomal RNA
Source: RNAcentral